GAUGAACGCUGGCGGCGUGCCUAAUACAUGCAAGUCGAGCGAACGGACGAGAAGCUUGCUUUUCUGAUGUUAGCGGCGGACGGGUGAGUAACACGUGGAUAACCUACCUAUAAGACUGGGAUAACUUCGGGAAACCGGAGCUAAUACCGGAUAAUAUUUUGAACCGCAUGGUUCAAAAGUGAAAGACGGUCUUGCUGUCACUUAUAGAUGGAUCCGCGCUGCAUUAGCUAGUUGGUAAGGUAACGGCUUACCAAGGCAACGAUGCAUAGCCGACCUGAGAGGGUGAUCGGCCACACUGGAACUGAGACACGGUCCAGACUCCUACGGGAGGCAGCAGUAGGGAAUCUUCCGCAAUGGGCGAAAGCCUGACGGAGCAACGCCGCGUGAGUGAUGAAGGUCUUCGGAUCGUAAAACUCUGUUAUUAGGGAAGAACAUAUGUGUAAGUAACUGUGCACAUCUUGACGGUACCUAAUCAGAAAGCCACGGCUAACUACGUGCCAGCAGCCGCGGUAAUACGUAGGUGGCAAGCGUUAUCCGGAAUUAUUGGGCGUAAAGCGCGCGUAGGCGGUUUUUUAAGUCUGAUGUGAAAGCCCACGGCUCAACCGUGGAGGGUCAUUGGAAACUGGAAAACUUGAGUGCAGAAGAGGAAAGUGGAAUUCCAUGUGUAGCGGUGAAAUGCGCAGAGAUGUGGAGGAACACCAGUGGCGAAGGCGACUUUCUGGUCUGUAACUGACGCUGAUGUGCGAAAGCGUGGGGAUCAAACAGGAUUAGAUACCCUGGUAGUCCACGCCGUAAACGAUGAGUGCUAAGUGUUAGGGGGUUUCCGCCCCUUAGUGCUGCAGCUAACGCAUUAAGCACUCCGCCUGGGGAGUACGACCGCAAGGUUGAAACUCAAAGGAAUUGACGGGGGCCCGCACAAGCGGUGGAGCAUGUGGUUUAAUUCGAAGCAACGCGAAGAACCUUACCAAAUCUUGACAUCCUUUGACAACUCUAGAGAUAGAGCCUUCCCCUUCGGGGGACAAAGUGACAGGUGGUGCAUGGUUGUCGUCAGCUCGUGUCGUGAGAUGUUGGGUUAAGUCCCGCAACGAGCGCAACCCUUAAGCUUAGUUGCCAUCAUUAAGUUGGGCACUCUAAGUUGACUGCCGGUGACAGACCGGAGGAAGGUGGGGAUGACGUCAAAUCAUCAUGCCCCUUAUGAUUUGGGCUACACACGUGCUACAAUGGACAAUACAAAGGGCAGCGAAACCGCGAGGUCAAGCAAAUCCCAUAAAGUUGUUCUCAGUUCGGAUUGUAGUCUGCAACUCGACUACAUGAAGCUGGAAUCGCUAGUAAUCGUAGAUCAGCAUGCUACGGUGAAUACGUUCCCGGGUCU
RNAcentral lists this ribosomal RNA (1372 nucleotides) under uncultured bacterium. Its description in RNAcentral is "bacterial SSU rRNA". It matches the Rfam family "Bacterial small subunit ribosomal RNA", at positions 28 to 1381 of the family's 1533-position model. The record is from RNAcentral.